AAGCAGAAACUUCUGUGACUUUUGUUCUCAUUUUAGUGCCAGUUGCACCAAUAGGUGGGUGUCCACGGAGGAAAAACGCAAACUUGGAGAAAUGCUGCGUUCAUGUGGUGUCUGAAUUAUUGGAGAAACGACCAUCCAACACAUGAAGGCCACAUUCUGCUAUUGGUUUCCCUAAAGUCAGAGAAGUUCUGGACCUGCUGUGCUGCAGGUUCACCUGUAUUCUAGUCGCACCAGGAAGGCACCAACCAUCCAUCGACCCAUCUUUAGAACCUGCUGUAUCCCUUUUGAGGAUACUGGAGCCAACCCUGGUUCUGUUGAGGCACAAGUUGCAGGGCCACACACCCACACACACCUCAAGUCCAGCUGGGAUUCGAUUCAAGGCCUUUUCACUGUGGGGCAACCCCUCCCAAAUCACAAUGUGAUUUACUUCAUUGCGUUGACAGCUCAAAGUGAAAGUGGUAAAGAUAAAGUGCUUUAUUCUGCUUGUACCUAAGUGUUCAUAAUCUAUGGAGUGUUCCGGACGGAAGGACAUUAUUUAUGAUUUCACAGAGUGAAUUUACACCAUCCCAAGACCAAUGUAAGGCAACAAGUGUUCGGAAUUAGAAGUGGGAGCAGUUACACAAAGCUGUAAUGCUGCUGUGUGUCUGUUUGUGCGACUCAACAGCUCUCUGACCCGUAGGCUCGCUGAACGCCGUGCUUAAGUGCAGACGCCGGCAGGUUGUAUUUCUCUUAUCGCAGUGACUCUGAAUCUAAUUCUCUGUAUCAGGGUCACUUUGACCACAGAAGUAUAUCUGCACAGGUUAGCAACACCAGAAGAAAAGCAAUUCAUAAACAUGUCCUCCUGAAGCAACUCUUCAUGCAUGUCCGACAAAAAAAAAAAAAAAAAACACACUAAAGAGAUGCGUCUUUUAGCUAAAACCAUCUAUCAAGUUGAGUUAUAGCAACAUCAGCUACUGUAAAUAUUUUAUCAAACUCACAAAAAAAUCCAGUGACGGCGGAUUUAACCACAGAAAUGUGAACGGCGGCUCAUUUGACUGCAGACUGAAGAAAUACACAAAAAUACAAAAACAAAAUUAUUUCUUAUUACAUUUGUUCUCUUUCAUAGGAAAAAUGCUACUAAAACAUGAUUUUCAUCGGAUGGGGACUUUAUAUGCUGCGUCUUAAUAUGCCAAGUAAAGAUGAGCACCGCAGACUUUUGUGCCUUUUAUCACUUAUUAAAAAGCCUAAAAAGCUUCGAUUUCUGGGAUCACAAUCUAUGUUGAAACAUUUAUAGCAGCUGGACCGAUUGAUAAAACAGAGCGACUUUGGUCCUGUUUGUUAACAUCUUCGAAGUUAAAAAUCAGAUUGCUGAACAAAAAGGUAAUAUUUUAAAUAAAAAUAAAAAAAGUAGCUAAGUUUGACUCAACACACUUUAGUAAAAAAAAUAAAAAAGAGCAGUUUUCCUGCUGUCUCUCAUUUAUAUUUUUGCAGCUGAUUUUCCAAACAGAUACUUAUUUUUUCUGAUUUAUGAAGCAGUAAACUAGUCAUUAAUAUUUUUUUAAACAGAGAAGAAAUACUUAUGUGGUUGUCAUGGUAACAAUUUGUGGCUAAAGCUGUGAUGUGGUGAGAAAAAAUAAAUACUGAGAUUUUUAUUCAUGAGUAGGAUUUUUUUUAUUCUUUUCACAUGUGGUAAUUGUGAUUACAAACUCACGGCUUAAUUGGUUUGACAUUAAAAAGCAAUUGUGCUUUUUUUCAAAUUAACAUUUAUUAUUUAGAUAAAUAAUUGUUUCUAUUGGAUAAAACUCAAUUUUCCAACUUUCUUCUCUCACGUCUUUAUUUUUUUUUUAAUGAUUUUCUUCUAAGGACUUAAAUUCACCAUUUUUAAAAUUUUUUUUCCAGUUUCCUGUUAUGGAUUUUGUUCAUUAUAGAAACAAAUCCAGAUGAUCACUUCAUAUGACAACUUUAACUUUGAAUUUAAACGUGUUUUAUUUAAUGUUCUUAAUUG
This is a long non-coding RNA of Oryzias melastigma (Indian medaka), 1984 nucleotides long. RefSeq lists it as uncharacterized. NCBI's taxonomy places the organism in Eukaryota, Metazoa, Chordata, Actinopteri, Beloniformes, Adrianichthyidae. The transcript has 2 exons. The record is from RefSeq and is a predicted model, not a curated record.